AUACGUAGGGGGCAAGCGUUAUCCGGAUUCAUUGGGCGUAAAGAGCGCGUAGGCGGCUUGUUAAGCGAGAUGUGAAAACAGGGGGCUCAACCCGCUGCUUGCAUCUCGAACUGGCAGGCUUGAGUUUGGUAGAGGAGUGUGGAAUUCCCAGUGUAGCGGUGGAAUGCGCAGAUAUUGGGAGGAACACCAGUGGCGAAGGCGGCACUCUGGGCCAUAACUGACGCUGAGGCGCGAAAGCGUGGGUAGCAAACAGGAUUAGAUACCCUGGUAGUCCACGCCGUAAACGAUGGGCACUAGGUGUGGGGAGAUCUCUCUCUCCGUGCCGCAGCUAACGCAUUAAGUGCCCCGCCUGGGGAGUACGGCCGCAAGGCUAAA
This 375-nucleotide ribosomal RNA is filed under the name uncultured bacterium. RNAcentral describes it as "bacterial SSU rRNA". It matches the Rfam family "Bacterial small subunit ribosomal RNA", at positions 523 to 898 of the family's 1533-position model. The record is from RNAcentral.